This 404-nucleotide ribosomal RNA is filed under the name uncultured Streptococcus sp. RNAcentral's name for it is "bacterial SSU rRNA". It matches the Rfam family "Bacterial small subunit ribosomal RNA", at positions 976 to 1382 of the family's 1533-position model. Lineage: Bacteria; Bacillati; Bacillota; Bacilli; Lactobacillales; Streptococcaceae. The record is from RNAcentral.
AGGUCUUGACAUCCGAUGCUAUUUCUAGAGAUAGAAAGUUACUUCGGUACAUCGGUGACAGGUGGUGCAUGGUUGUCGUCAGCUCGUGUCGUGAGAUGUUGGGUUAAGUCCCGCAACGAGCGCAACCCCUAUUGUUAGUUGCCAUCAUUCAGUUGGGCACUCUAGCGAGACUGCCGGUAAUAAACCGGAGGAAGGUGGGGAUGACGUCAAAUCAUCAUGUCCCUUAUGACCUGGGCUACACACGUGCUACAAUGGUUGGUACAACGAGUUGCGAGUCGGUGACGGCGAGCUAAUCUCUUAAAGCCAAUCUCAGUUCGGAUUGUAGGCUGCAACUCGCCUACAUGAAGUCGGAAUCGCUAGUAAUCGCGGAUCAGCACGCCGCGGUGAAUACGUUCCCGGGCCUU